CCUACGGGUGGCAGCAGUGGGGAAUAUUGGGCAAUGGACGCAAGUCUGACCCAGCAACGCCGCGUGAAGGAAGAAGGCUUUCGGGUUGUAAACUUCUUUUAAGGGGGACGAGCAGAAGACGGUACCCCUUGAAUAAGCCACGGCCAACUACGUGCCAGAAGGCGGGGUAAUACGUAGGUGGCAAGCGUUGUCCGGAUUUACUAGGUGUAAAGGGCGUGCAGCCGGGAAGACAAGUCAGAUGUGAAAUCCCAAGGCUCAACCUGUGAACUGCAUUUGAAACUGUUUCUCUUGAGUAUCGGAGAGGGCAUCGGAAUGCCUAGUGUAGCGGUGAAAUGCGUAGAUAUUAGGAAGAACACCAGUGGCGAAGGCGGAUGACUGGACGACAACUGACGGUGAGGCGCGAAAGCGUGGGGAGCAAACAGGAUUAGAUACCCUGGUAGUC
This 442-nucleotide ribosomal RNA is filed under the name uncultured bacterium. Its description in RNAcentral is "partial 16S ribosomal RNA". It matches the Rfam family "Bacterial small subunit ribosomal RNA", at positions 338 to 795 of the family's 1533-position model. The record is from RNAcentral.